CACCGUGAGGGGAAUCCGAAGGAAGCCGUCGGCAAAUCCUCGGUCUGACGAACAGAAACCGGAUAUAAGGCAUGACGUAUGUGGGCGAGACUGCAUGUCAAGUCGAAGCCCUAAACUAUCCGGACAUACGUAUUGUAAAUCCGGCAGAUAUAUGAGGAGAAAGUUGU
This 167-nucleotide non-coding RNA is filed under the name Bacteroides faecis. The record is from RNAcentral. Lineage: Bacteria; Pseudomonadati; Bacteroidota; Bacteroidia; Bacteroidales; Bacteroidaceae.